Molecule: ribosomal RNA, 482 nt
Filed under: Selenomonas sp. oral taxon 149
Lineage: Bacteria; Bacillati; Bacillota; Negativicutes; Selenomonadales; Selenomonadaceae
Description: bacterial SSU rRNA
Rfam family: Bacterial small subunit ribosomal RNA
Source: RNAcentral
GACGAACGCUGGCGGCGUGCUUAACACAUGCAAGUCGAACGGAGCGAAUGAAAGCUUGCUUUUAUGAGCUUAGUGGCAAACGGGUGAGUAACACGUAGACAACCUGCCGACAGGAUGGGGACAACAUUCCGAAAGGAAUGCUAAUACCGAAUGAAGUCAGAGGAGGGCAUCCUUCUCUGAUGAAAGAUGGCCUCUUUUUAUGCUAUCACCUGUUGAUGGGUCUGCGUCUGAUUAGCUGGUUGGUGAGGUAACGGCUCACCAAGGCGACGAUCAGCAGCCGGUCUGAGAGGAUGAACGGCCACAUUGGGACUGAGACACGGCCCAGACUCCUACGGGAGGCAGCAGUGGGGAAUCUUCCGCAAUGGGCGCAAGCCUGACGGAGCAACGCCGCGUGAGUGAAGAAGGUCUUCGGAUCGUAAAGCUCUGUUGACGGGGACGAACGUGCGGAGUGCGAAUAGCGCUUUGUAAUGACGUACCUUCGA